This 166-nucleotide non-coding RNA is filed under the name human gut metagenome. RNAcentral's name for it is "Lysine riboswitch". It matches the Rfam family "Lysine riboswitch aptamer". Rfam says of the family: Riboswitches are metabolite binding domains within certain messenger RNAs that serve as precision sensors for their corresponding targets. Allosteric rearrangement of mRNA structure is mediated by ligand binding, and this results in modulation of gene expression. The record is from RNAcentral.
AUAGGUAGAGGUGCGUACUGCUAUCAGUAACCGUAGUGCUUAAGGCUCGCAAAGCCGCUGCGGCAAAAGGAGCAUACGCCGAAGUUGGAGCCGAUGCGUAUGGCUCUGGCUGGUUUUACGGAACAAUAUCCGUACGACUGUCGUCCUUCAGGACGGAGUGCUAUCC